GCCAUCUCUCUGAACCUGCAGUGGAAUCCUAUCGACCACCAUUACCGCUGCUUCUGUAAAUGACAUGAUCAUCUCUGAAGUGAAAUUGGCGCCAUCUCAUUGAUCACCAACCGUUUGCUGUCCAUCAUUGGUGUUAGACGCCAUUGAGGUCUUGUCCAGCAACCAUGAACCUCGAUGUUUCUAUUAUGGUGCUUGUACCGGUUGAUUGCUAACGUUAGAAGAGGAUCUCUACAAGGAUGAUCAAGAAGUUGGAUAGCAAGAAUUUGGAAGGCAAGUGUAACAUGAGUUCCCUUGUUACCUAAUAACUAUUUAAUCACCUCUUCAUGUGCAUGUGUCUAAUGUGAUAAACCCCUAAGGACUUUACCUAGAACUUCUGUUAUCCUGAAUCUCUUGUUACCA
Sorghum bicolor (sorghum) is the source of this 399-nucleotide long non-coding RNA. RefSeq lists it as uncharacterized. The transcript has 3 exons. The record is from RefSeq and is a predicted model, not a curated record. NCBI's taxonomy places the organism in Eukaryota, Viridiplantae, Streptophyta, Magnoliopsida, Poales, Poaceae.